ACACGAUCUCACUUUGUCCUCGGAUGUUCAUCAUGUGAUCUUUUAUCAACACAACUGUGGCGGGGCCCUUGCUAACUUGCUCCCGAGUGAACCUGUGCUUGCCUACGUGUGGUAAAGCGGAAACACUGUGAACGCUUCUGACCUUGUCUUUUCAAUUUUAGGCAGGUGACAACGCUGAAUUGGUCCUCAGGAGCAGAUGUUCAAGGAACCCUGCCUAUGCUCCAUGCCAGCUGCCAGUCCUAGGUUGGAACAUUCCACUGGGGACAUCCAUGGGAGAGCUAACAAGUCCUGAGCCCUGACCUGAAGCCAUCAGUGGCCUAGCUGCUCUACCUGACUUUGUGGCCUCUCUUCCUGGAUCUCUUGCUUACGACAACCGACAACAAAGAUGUUUGACUCCAGAAGAUGCUCCCCGCGGCCCACCUGAGAGGACUGUCCACACCCCACCCCACUGCGCCCUGUGCCAUCUACCUCUGAGUCCCCAACUCGUAGCCCCUGCUUCUCACCCAUGUUUCAACUCCCACCCCAGAGCCUUUUAUUCCAGAUCUGAGCAGCCCUUGCUUAGGAACCUGAGGUGGGGGUGGGUAGGCAGACCCAGGGGACUGAGCAGGGAGGGGAAGGAGGGGUUUCUGCUCUUGGCUUUCAAAGUUCUCAGUGUGUGUGGCCCUUUGAAUAAUAAACAUAUGUCAUAUAAUGUAAA
This 697-nucleotide long non-coding RNA is filed under the name Mus spretus (western wild mouse). RNAcentral's name for it is "lncRNA (ENSMSPG00010021344.1)". The record is from RNAcentral. Lineage: Eukaryota; Metazoa; Chordata; Mammalia; Rodentia; Muridae.